RNAcentral lists this ribosomal RNA (468 nucleotides) under uncultured bacterium. RNAcentral describes it as "partial 16S ribosomal RNA". It matches the Rfam family "Bacterial small subunit ribosomal RNA", at positions 28 to 507 of the family's 1533-position model. The record is from RNAcentral.
GACGAACGCUGGCGGCGUGCUUAACACAUGCAAGUCGAACGGAAAGGCCCUGCUUUUGUGGGGUGCUCGAGUGGCGAACGGGUGAGUAACACGUGAGUAACCUGCCCUUGACUUUGGGAUAACUUCAGGAAACUGGGGCUAAUACCGGAUAGGAGCUCCUGCUGCAUGGUGGGGGUUGGAAAGUUUCGGCGGUUGGGGAUGGACUCGCGGCUUAUCAGCUUGUUGGUGGGGUAGUGGCUUACCCAGGCGUUGACGGGUAGCCGGCCUGAGAGGGUGACCGGCCACAUUGGGACUGAGAUACGGCCCAGACUCCUACGGGAGGCAGCAGUGGGGAAUAUUGCACAAUGGGCGGAAGCCUGAUGCAGCAACGCCGCGUGCGGGAUGACGGCCUUCGGGUUGUAAACCGCUUUCGCCUGUGACGAAGCGUGAGUGACGGUAAUGGGUAAAGAAGCACCGGCUAACUACGUG